Molecule: non-coding RNA, 2359 nt
Organism: Coturnix japonica (Japanese quail)
Lineage: Eukaryota; Metazoa; Chordata; Aves; Galliformes; Phasianidae
Source: RefSeq, a predicted model, not a curated record
CAUUGCCCCAGCAUCUCCUAAAGCUGCUGCAACAGGAAGACUACAAAUAAGCAUGCAGCUGACGUCAGCUAGACUGUUUUUGCAAGCAACUCACUCUAUUUUUUUCCAGACAAAAUGAGUUUUCUCUGCAAAAUCCAGUUUUCCAGAACUACUAGAUGCUGAGACAUGCACUGGAGAGACACGAGAAGGGGAGAAGCGUCAGUGCCUGCAAGGCUGCCUGCUACGUCCCUUGUAAGCUCAGUAAUACGAGGAUCUUUUCAAGCUUUCUCAGAGCUCCGAAGCCAAGUAGCCCAACGCUGCCCGGAUGGAUGGCACAGCUGGGAGCGGUUUGAGAAGCCAUCCACUGAAACGUAAGCAAAAGGCUCUUAAGGAAGUCUUUCAAGAGACCAUAUAGAGCGACUAUAAUGGUAGGAAAUAAAUACAGCUGUUGCAAAGGGGGAAGGGAGCCUACUGCCCCAACUCAGACAUGACGGAUCUCAGGAAGCACAAGAUGUAUGGCGUUUGGGAAGGGCACCACUCACACCAGAAAGUACAACAUCCAUCAGACCACACAAGGGGCUUAGAGGCGAGCUGACAGCAGCACGUUAGGAAACGGUCUGUGACCUACAAGACAGGCCACAAAAGGGAACAGUUAAGCCUGAAAGAGUAAGCCGAGAAUUAUGAAUGCCUGAGAGCUACAAAAGUGUUCUUCAAAGAAUAAAAACCCCUUUCGCUGCCAGGAGAGAACUGUGACCUGUGCAUCAGACAGGGCAUAUGCUGAAAGGUCCCCUGAGCAGCACUGACGGGCAGGCCUCCCUCCAGGGCGCCCAGCCUGCCCUCACCUCUGCUGCCCAGCCUGCACCACUCCCAGCUCCUGCCCAAGGGGACACUAUCUGCUGCUUGGUCUAAGUGCCUGGCUCACAGAGACACUGUACCAAACCCACCAUUCUUAGCUGUCAUGAAGAGUGUAUAUAUAUAUAUUCUUUAUCAUGAUGGGGGAGGAUUCAGGAAUAUUAACCCUCGAGGCAUAGAUAUGAAAGCCAAGCGCUAUGUUCUCCGCUGUGCCCACAGCCUGGCUUGUCCUGAGGGACAGUGGGGAUCCCAGCAGAGGCCUUGUGGGGAUCUUGGUUUGGCACACAGACAACUUCAGCCAUGGUGCAGCUCGAGAGCAGAGCCCCCCAUUGGAAUCCCCCAUCUGCAGGCCCAACUGUGUGUAAACAAACUUCUAAACCCCAUUUUCCCUGGUAACAUUGUUUUAAGCCAGAGAACAAUAAGAUGGCGUGCGUAACGCAGCCACCCAUGGGAGCACAGCAGACAGUUACAUUAACUUUUUUACACCAGUUUUAUUAUUGAGUUAAAAGGAGAAAUUUCUUUUCCAAAUAUUUUUAUGGGGAGUCGGCGGGGAGAUUAAAAUACAUGUAAGGCAAAUUACAGAACGGUUUAAAGAGUUCCAGUGCCAUAAAUUAGUUGGAUCAGAAAUUCUGAACAAAACAGAAUAAAGCCGCAGUGGUACUUGCUGAUGGAGGAAACGGAACUGUUUAAAAGAGGAGCUAUUCCUGAAAAGCCAAUUAAGUGAUGCCAUUUUUUACAACAGUCAAGUCAAGGCAGAACAUGGCAAUGAAUGCGCCAGACGUUACCAGCAGCGAGCUUACCUCAGUUCCAGGCGGUCAACGCGAGACAAAAACACCGGGAUAAGGAUAGUAACACACAGUCAAAUCAAAACAGGUUAAGCACAGGAAGACUGAGGUUUGCACAGAUACCAAAACUACAAGCUCUGCUGAAUGACUAUGAAUACUUUAGACCAGUUUUCACUUCUCUUCUAAAUGCAAUACGAGCUGCUGAUCACAGUCUGCUGAAAAGCUAGAGAAAUGGAGGUGUAGUUAACGAGGAUGUCUCCUGUGGCAAGUUACGAACACCUGGCACAUCCAGACUUCACUCUGGUGUUAAAACUCCCCUCCAGCACUGAAUGGAGCCUUGCAAGAAAAGUGUGAAUCUUUGACAAGUGAGAAUCUUUGAAAAGUGCAUUCUCUGACAUCAGACCCUUGGGCCUAAAGGGUCCUCAUUACUACACCCAUCAGCUGAAUCUUCUUCUAAGACUUUUAAACAUAAAUUAAAAGCUCUCAGGCUAAAGAAUAUAAUUCCUAUGAAAGAUCAAACCUUACAACAACUUUUGUUUUGUUUUAUAUACUUCUUAAUAAAAAUCAUUGCUGGCCUUUACGAAGUCUGGAAGUUUUGUUCCUAUUAACAAAAGUUCUCUUAUUGGUCCCAGUGCCUAACAGGAAUACAGGACGUCACCCAACACUGGCUCCAUUUAUACAAGGGCUGCUCUGAAAGUACUGCCUCCUAUUUUAUUAUGUAGGCUCAAGACAUCAGAAGCAGA